This 624-nucleotide long non-coding RNA is filed under the name Parus major (Great Tit). RNAcentral describes it as "lncRNA (ENSPMJG00000002386.1)". The record is from RNAcentral. Lineage: Eukaryota; Metazoa; Chordata; Aves; Passeriformes; Paridae.
ACUAAUUUUUUUAUUUUUUUUCUGGUUUCUUAUAGGAAUUCAAUCAGUUAAAAAUAUGCAUAAUUCACAACCUCAAUUAAAAGAUGGUCUGUGUGUCUCAGAGAAAUGACAUAGAGUCUUGCACUAAAUGUUACAUCAAGUAGAGCAGCAUGAAUAUCAUUCAGUGUAUUUUUAGAGGCACUCAGUGGAAAAGAAAGCAUUUUAAAGAACAUAAUCCAAGGACACAAACUGAAGUACUGCUGAAGGCAGACCCAGUUUGUGAGAUAAACAAUAAAUACACUAGGAAUCAUAUGGCUGCAACAGAUACAACUGAAAAAAAUGGAACCAGAACUCAUCUGGUUGAUCACCAUGAAGAAAAAUCAUCAGAUAAGACAGGAAUUCAGGAAGAUUGUUAGGAUCACAAUGGCUGUGGGAGAUAACUUGGAAUAAGCUUCAAUAUUUGCAAUAAUUUGCAAUAAUUUGUAAACAAAUAAUCUUUAAUUUACAGUUAUUUUUAGUAGACCACAGUUUUUAUUUUUUUUUAAAAUUACCUCAAGAUUUAAUUUCAUAAAGUUAAAUGUAAAGCUUGUUAUAUAGGAGUGGGGGGGAAAUAAAAAAAAAAGAAAAGGAGAAAAAAUUUAAAUA